Non-coding RNA from Sus scrofa (pig), 523 nucleotides. The record is from RefSeq and is a predicted model, not a curated record. Lineage: Eukaryota; Metazoa; Chordata; Mammalia; Artiodactyla; Suidae.
GGGAAGCCGAAUCCCGCGGGAAGCCGAAUCCCGCGGGAAGCCGAAUCCCGCGGGAAGCCGAAUCCCCCUGCGCGUCAAAGAAAUUACGUUGUACAAAGAUGAGUUGACCCCUGAACAUCAGUGUCCGCCUGGCAAAAUCAAACCGGGUCUGCCUCUUUCUACCCACGACUAGAGAAAUUUCCGUAAUCUUCAAACCACCUAGUGUAUUUCUCACGCAAAUUUGGAGUCUGACUGAGAAGAAACCUCACCAUUGGAUUAAACAAAACUUGAAUUAAUUGGGAGUUGUGCUAAAUUUAAACAUAAGUUUAAUAUAUGCAUAAUGUAAAUUGUAUAUUUCCUUGAUUAACGUGUCUAACUUUCUUGAACCUGUGAUUUCAAAACCUAGAAUAGUCCCUCUCUAAAGGCAGAAAUUUUGUAUGGUUAAGACCCUAAAAUCUUGUGUAAGCACAGUCUACUGGAUCUCAAUGACCAAGAAUUUUUUUCAGAAAUUCAAACAUAUGUAUAUACUUAUGCAAUAAAUAUU